GCACAAAGAAGUUUACUUCUUAGGUGUGCCUCGCUGCGUUAAACCCUCAAACCUUUUGAAUGUGUAGUUGAUGAAAACCCAGUCUUUAUAGUUGUCAUUUUCUGAAGGCAUAGGUGCUGAAGCUAAAAAUAAAAAUCAUUAGAAUAACAUUGAAAACAUCAAUUAGGAAUCAGGAGGGGAAAUUAUUUAACUAUUCAUUA
Molecule: long non-coding RNA, 200 nt
Organism: Harmonia axyridis
Lineage: Eukaryota; Metazoa; Arthropoda; Insecta; Coleoptera; Coccinellidae
Exons: 2
Source: RefSeq, a predicted model, not a curated record